Molecule: ribosomal RNA, 239 nt
Filed under: uncultured bacterium
Lineage: Bacteria
Description: partial 16S ribosomal RNA
Rfam family: Bacterial small subunit ribosomal RNA
Source: RNAcentral
CGAGUGGCGGACGGGUGAGUAAUGUCUGGGAAACUGCCUGAUGGAGGGGGAUAACUACUGGAAACGGUAGCUAAUACCGCAUAACGUCGCAAGACCAAAGAGGGGGACCUUCGGGCCUCUUGCCAUCGGAUGUGCCCAGAUGGGAUUAGCUAGUAGGUGGGGUAACGGCCCACCUAGGCGACGAUCCCUAGCUGGUCUGAGAGGAUGACCAGCCACACUGGAACUGAGACACGGUCCAG